This 464-nucleotide ribosomal RNA is filed under the name uncultured bacterium. RNAcentral describes it as "bacterial SSU rRNA". It matches the Rfam family "Bacterial small subunit ribosomal RNA", at positions 33 to 507 of the family's 1533-position model. The record is from RNAcentral.
CAGGACACGCUGGCGGCGUGCCUAACACAUGCAAGUCGAGCGAAUGAAGUUCCUUCGGGAACGGAUUUAGCGGCGGACGGGUGAGUAACACGUGGGCAACCUGCCUCAUAGAGGGAAUAGCCUUCCGAAAGGGAGAUUAAUACCGCAUAAGAUUGUAGUACCGCAUGGUACAGCAAUUAAAGGAGCAAUCCGCUAUGAGAUGGGCCCGCGGCGCAUUAGCUAGUUGGUGAGGUAACGGCUCACCAAGGCGACGAUGCGUAGCCGACCUGAGAGGGUGAUCGGCCACAUUGGGACUGAGACACGGCCCAGACUCCUACGGGAGGCAGCAGUGGGGAAUAUUGCACAAUGGGGGAAACCCUGAUGCAGCAACGCCGCGUGAGUGAUGACGGCCUUCGGGUUGUAAAGCUCUGUCUUCAGGGACGAUAAUGACGGUACCUGAGGAGGAAGCCACGGCUAACUACGUG